This 301-nucleotide ribosomal RNA is filed under the name uncultured bacterium. RNAcentral describes it as "partial 16S ribosomal RNA". It matches the Rfam family "Bacterial small subunit ribosomal RNA", at positions 509 to 807 of the family's 1533-position model. The record is from RNAcentral.
CAGUAGCCGCGGUAAUACGGAGGGUGCAAGCGUUAAUCGGAAUUACUGGGCGUAAAGCGCACGCAGGCGGUCUGACAAGUCAGAUGUGAAAUCCCCGGGCUUAACCUGGGAACUGCAUUUGAAACUGUCAGGCUGGAGUCUUGUAGAGGGGGGUAGAAUUCCAGGUGUAGCGGUUAAAUGCGUAGAGAUCUGGAGGAAUACCGGUGGCGAAGGCGGCCCCCUGGACAAAGACUGACGCUCAGGUGCGAAAGCGUGGGGAGCAAACAGGAUUAGAUACCCCUGUAGUCCCUGUCUCUUAUAC